This 468-nucleotide ribosomal RNA is filed under the name uncultured bacterium. RNAcentral describes it as "partial 16S ribosomal RNA". It matches the Rfam family "Bacterial small subunit ribosomal RNA", at positions 28 to 507 of the family's 1533-position model. The record is from RNAcentral.
GACGAACGCUGGCGGCGUGCUUAACACAUGCAAGUCGAACGGAAAGGCCCUGCUUUUGUGGGGUGCUCGAGUGGCGAACGGGUGAGUAACACGUGAGUAACCUGCCCUUGACUUUGGGAUAACUUCAGGAAACUGGGGCUAAUACCGUAUAGGAUCUCCUGCUGCAUGGUGGGGGUUGGAAAGUUUCGGCUGUUGGGGAUGGACUCGCGGCUUAUCAGCUUGUUGGUGGGGUAGUGGCUUACCAAGGCUUUGACGGGUAGCCGGCCUGAGAGGGUGACCGGCCACAUUGGGACUGAGAUACGGCCCAGACUCCUACGGGAGGCAGCAGUGGGGAAUAUUGCACAAUGGGCGGAAGCCUGUUGCAGCAACGCCGCGUGCGGGAUGACGGCCUUCGGGUUGUAAACCGCUUUCGCCUGUGACGAAGCGUGAGUGACGGUAAUGGGUAAAGAAGCACCGGCUAACUACGUG